GACGAACCGUCCAAACGUUAUUCGGAAUUACUGGGCUUAAAGGGUGCGUAGGCGGCGCGGAAAGUUGGGUGUGAAAUCCCUCGGCUCAACCGAGGAACUGCGCUCAAUACUACCGUGCUCGAGGGAGAUAGAGGUGAGCGGAACUUAGGGUGGAGCGGUGAAGUGCGUUGAUAUCCUAAGGAACACCGGUGGCGAAAGCGGCUCACUGGAUCUCUUCUGACGCUGAGGCACGAAAGCUAGGGUAGCGAACGGG
Molecule: ribosomal RNA, 253 nt
Filed under: uncultured bacterium
Lineage: Bacteria
Description: partial 16S ribosomal RNA
Rfam family: Bacterial small subunit ribosomal RNA
Source: RNAcentral